UAGGGAAUCUUCCGCAAUGGGCGAAAGCCUGACGGAGCAACGCCGCGUGAGUGAUGAAGGUCUUCGGAUCGUAAAACUCUGUUAUUAGGGAAGAACAAAUGUGUAAGUAACUAUGCACGUCUUGACGGUACCUAAUCAGAAAGCCACGGCUAACUACGUGCCAGCAGCCGCGGUAAUACGUAGGUGGCAAGCGUUAUCCGGAAUUAUUGUGCGUAAAGCGCGCGUAGGCGGUUUUUUACGUCUGAUGUGAAAGCCCACGGCUCAACCGUGGAGGGUCAUUGGAAACUGGAAAACUUGAGUGCGGAAGAGGAAAGUGGAAUUCCAUGUGUAGCAGUGAAAUGCGCAGAGAUAUGGAGGAACACCAGUGGCGAAGGCGACUUUCUGGUCUGUAACUGACGCUGAUGUGCGAAAGCGUGGGGAUCAAACAGG
RNAcentral lists this ribosomal RNA (429 nucleotides) under Actinomycetes bacterium. RNAcentral describes it as "Actinobacteria bacterium partial 16S ribosomal RNA". It matches the Rfam family "Bacterial small subunit ribosomal RNA", at positions 355 to 776 of the family's 1533-position model. Lineage: Bacteria; Bacillati; Actinomycetota; Actinomycetes. The record is from RNAcentral.